CUUACGAGUAGGAUGCUCAGCGCCCGACCUCCACCCUUUGUUGUUAAAACUACCUUGUUGCUUUGGCGGGACCGCUCGGUCUCGAGCCGCUGGGGAUUCGUCCCAGGCGAGCGCCCGCCAGAGUUAAACCAAACUCUUGUUAUUUAACCGGUCGUCUGAGUUAAAAUUUUGAAUAAAUCAAAACUUUCAACAACGGAUCUCUUGGUUCUCGCAUCGAUGAAGAACGCAGCGAAAUGCGAUAAGUAAUGUGAAUUGCAGAAUUCAGUGAAUCAUCGAAUCUUUGAACGCACAUUGCGCCCCUUGGUAUUCCGAGGGGCAUGCCUGUUCGAGCGUCAUUACACCACUCAAGCUAUGCUUGGUAUUGGGUGCCGUCCUUAGUUGGGCGCGCCUUAAAGACCUCGGCGAGGCCUCACCGGCUUUAGGCGUAGUAGAAUUUAUUCGAACGUCUGUCAAAGGAGAGGACUUCUGCCGACUGAAACCUUUAUUUUUCUAGGUUGACCUCGGAUCAGGUAGGGAUACCCGCUGAACUUAAGCAUAUCAA
RNAcentral lists this ribosomal RNA (541 nucleotides) under Aureobasidium pullulans. Its description in RNAcentral is "eukaryotic LSU rRNA". The stretch from base 182 to 335 matches the Rfam family "5.8S ribosomal RNA". Lineage: Eukaryota; Fungi; Ascomycota; Dothideomycetes; Dothideales; Saccotheciaceae. The record is from RNAcentral.